CAAAAUAUAGCUUAUAUAAAGUGCCUUGCUUACACCAAGACAAUGUUUAAUCACACUAAACUAUUUUGAG
RNAcentral lists this transfer RNA (70 nucleotides) under Craugastor sartori (Chiapas dwarf robber frog). Its description in RNAcentral is "tRNA-Val". Lineage: Eukaryota; Metazoa; Chordata; Amphibia; Anura; Craugastoridae. The record is from RNAcentral.